GCAACGGCACCACAAACACCACCUAUCACUGAGCCCACAACAACUCCAGUUGAAGAUUUUUUAUUACCAUUCCCAUGAGUUUGUCCACCUCCAUCGGGUGAACUAGGAGUGCUCCCGGAAGGUGCAAAAGGAGGUGGAUUAUCUUUCCCAAUAUUGACAUUGCCAUCAUAUUUAACCAAUACAUUGCUCUUAAAUGGUGGGAUUUUCCCAUAAAUUAGAUUGUUAGAAAUAUCAAAUUCCUUUAGGUUUGGCAGCGAAACGAGCUCAUUCGGAAUAGUUCCAGUAAGAAAAUUAUUUGCUAGGAUCAACUUCUGUAACGACGUAAUGGACGAGUAGUUGGGAGAGAUUGUCCCUGUAAGUCCCAUUUUCUGAAAAUUCAGCACUGUAAUAUUCCCACCA
RNAcentral lists this unclassified non-coding RNA (399 nucleotides) under Hevea brasiliensis (rubber tree). Lineage: Eukaryota; Viridiplantae; Streptophyta; Magnoliopsida; Malpighiales; Euphorbiaceae. The record is from RNAcentral.